UCGACCCAUUUCCCUUUCACAUGUGUCGACGGCGUGUGACAAACGUGAGUGAAAAUUUUGAAGUGAAUCGACAAUGUGUUUGUUUUGUGGUCGUUUUACAAUUUUAACGAAAUUAGGCAAAUUGUGACUUUAAAUAAUUAAAAGUGCUUAACAUUGUGCAAAUUUUAAGACGAAAUUUAGCAAUUUCAAGAAAAAAAAAUUGAAAUGUCUGACAAACCAAAGCGGAAUGGGAAGCAAAGGCAGCUAAAGCCAAGGAAGAUUAUGAUGAAGCGGUGAGAUAAUUUGAGGCCAAUGGAGGCAGCUGCCGAAUUUAUAUUCAUAUAAUCAGCUGGAUUGAAAACACGUUUGCACAAAGUUUCAAGUCACUCACAUCAAAGUUAUAAGUAAAUGUUCUGAAAAGUCGUGAAAAGAAAAAAUAAAAAUUAAUAUUAUACAAUAUAUGUGAAAAAAAAAGUGACAAAUGUGUGAGU
Anastrepha ludens (Mexican fruit fly) is the source of this 470-nucleotide long non-coding RNA. RefSeq lists it as uncharacterized. The record is from RefSeq and is a predicted model, not a curated record. The transcript is spliced from 2 exons. NCBI's taxonomy places the organism in Eukaryota, Metazoa, Arthropoda, Insecta, Diptera, Tephritidae.